GUGGUUGUGGCUAAGUGGUAGAGCACUCAUCUACCACAUGUGAGGCCCUGGGUUUGAUCCUCAAUACCACA
This 71-nucleotide transfer RNA is filed under the name Ictidomys tridecemlineatus (thirteen-lined ground squirrel). RNAcentral describes it as "Spermophilus tridecemlineatus (thirteen-lined ground squirrel) tRNA". It matches the Rfam family "tRNA". Rfam says of the family: Transfer RNA (tRNA) molecules are approximately 80 nucleotides in length. Lineage: Eukaryota; Metazoa; Chordata; Mammalia; Rodentia; Sciuridae. The record is from Rfam by way of RNAcentral.